RNAcentral lists this ribosomal RNA (460 nucleotides) under uncultured bacterium. RNAcentral's name for it is "partial 16S ribosomal RNA". It matches the Rfam family "Bacterial small subunit ribosomal RNA", at positions 338 to 795 of the family's 1533-position model. The record is from RNAcentral.
CCUACGGGAGGCAGCAGUGAGGAAUAUUGGUCAAUGGGCGCGAGCCUGAACCAGCCACGUAGCGUGAAUGAUGACUGCCCUACGGGUUGUAAACUUCUUUUAUAAAGGAAUAAAGUGUGGCACGUGCUCCUUUUUGUGUGUACUUUAUGAAUAAGGAUCGGCUAACUCCGUGCCAGCAGCCGCGGUCAUACGGAGGAUCCGCGCGUUAUCCGGAUUUAUUGGGUUUAAAGGGAGCGUAGAUGGGUUGUUAAGUCAGUUGUGAAAGUUUGCGGCUCAACCGUAAAAUUGCAAUUGAUACUGGAAGGCUGGAGUACAGUUGAGGUAGGCGGAAUUCGUGGUGUAGCGGUGAAAUGCUUAGAUAUCACGAAGAACUCCGAUGGCGAAGGCAGCUUACUAAACUGCAACUGACAUUGAUGCUCGAAAGUGUGGGUAUCAAACAGGAUUAGAUACCCUUGUAGUC